GACGAACGCUGGCGGCGUGCUUAACACAUGCAAGUCGAACGGUGAAGCGCCUUCCUUUUUGGUGGGUGUGGAUGAGUGGCGAACGGGUGAGUAACACGUGAGUAACCUGCCCCCUUCUUCUGGAUAACCGCAUGAAAGUGUGGCUAAUACGGGAUAUUCUGGGUCUGUCGCAUGAUGGGUCUGGGAAAGAUAUUGUUUCGGUGGGGGAUGGGCUCGCGGCCUAUCAGCUUGUUGGUGGGGUGAUGGCCUACUACGGCGGCGAUGCGUAGCCGGCCUGUGAGGGGGGUCGACGGUCAUACGGGGGCGGAGACGCGGCCACUCCUCCUGCGGGAGGCAGCAGGGGGUAAUAUGGCACAGUGGGAGGAAGGCUGAUGCAGCGACGCCGCGUGAGGGAUGGAGGCCGGCGGGUUGUGAACUUCUUUCGCCAGUGAAGCAGGCCUGCCUAGUGUGUGGGUGGGUUGACGGUAGCUGGAUAAGAAGCGCCGGCUAACUACGUG
This 497-nucleotide ribosomal RNA is filed under the name uncultured bacterium. Its description in RNAcentral is "partial 16S ribosomal RNA". It matches the Rfam family "Bacterial small subunit ribosomal RNA", at positions 28 to 507 of the family's 1533-position model. The record is from RNAcentral.